This 456-nucleotide ribosomal RNA is filed under the name uncultured bacterium. Its description in RNAcentral is "SSU rRNA". It matches the Rfam family "Bacterial small subunit ribosomal RNA", at positions 26 to 516 of the family's 1533-position model. The record is from RNAcentral.
AGAACGAACGCUGGCGGCAUGCCUAACACAUGCAAGUCGAACGAGACCGCUGACUUCGGUUGGCGCGUCUAGUGGCGCACGGGUGCGUAACGCGUGGGAAUCUGCCCUUGGGUACGGAAUAACAGUUAGAAAUGACUGCUAAUACCGUAUAAUGACUUCGGUCCAAAGAUUUAUCGCCCAGGGAUGAGCCCGCGUAGGAUUAGCUUGUUGGUGAGGUAAGAGCUCACCAAGGCGACGAUCCUUAGCUGGUCUGAGAGGAUGAUCAGCCACACUGGGACUGAGACACGGCCCAGACUCCUACGGGAGGCAGCAGUGGGGAAUAUUGGACAAUGGGCGAAAGCCUGAUCCAGCAAUGCCGCGUGAGUGAUGAAGGCCUUAGGGUUGUAAAGCUCUUUUACCCGGGAAGAUAAUGACUGUACCGGGAGAAUAAGCCCGGCUAACUCCGUGCCAGCAGCC